This 1975-nucleotide long non-coding RNA is filed under the name Marmota monax (woodchuck). Lineage: Eukaryota; Metazoa; Chordata; Mammalia; Rodentia; Sciuridae. The record is from RNAcentral.
CUUUGAUCUGGAAUGGGUCAGAUGUUCUAGGAAAAGACAUGUCAGAAAUACUUGGCUUCUUAGUCUGAAGGUUCUGAGUAGACAAUCUCUAGAGCUAAUGAAAAUAUUAGUUCCUUGGCAUUUUCAACACUGUAAAUGUUUGAAAUUGUCUUUUGUCUUUUCAGUAUGUACUCUGCCAGUAUUAUACAUAGUUAAGCUCAGUUCUUAGUUGUAGACAGCAUAACUCUUUUUAGGAUAAGCAGAAAAGAUACUUACUUUUCAAAGCUUGUUGAGUAUUUUAUAGGAUAUCCAGGGAAGACCAGAUAGUUGGACGUAGGUGCAGCCAGCUCUGAACAUGCGCAAACCACUCUUAAAACUUAGCAGUGAAGACUCAUUUGUUACUGGAGCCUUUGUCACCCUUGAAAGUUGGAUUUAUCACAGCAGUGAUAGGAGGAUUCUUCACAUUGCUCUGUUGGGUAUCAAAUUCCUGGGCAGUAUGUCUGAGUGUAGGGCCUUGGUCAUGUCCUUCUGUCCUAGCAGUCAGCUAAGAAAACAAACCAAGUCUGCCUUGGGUAGAGCAUAUAUUAUUCAAAAGAUGCUGGAUGGUCAAGGAAUCAUGACAGUUGUCAACUACAAUAUAACAAAGUGGAGCUGGAGAGAAGGCUGACACUUUUUGGUAGGAAAGGACUCUGCCCUUUAGCUGUAUUUUCAUUUUUAGUUAGUCUCCAAAGAUGACCUCUGCAAAGUCUCCCCUCACCUCUUGGUCUCAUACAAAUAGAUGCAGAGAAGUAUUAUGGAGCUUUAUGCUCUACCAGCAAUAUUUAGUGGCUUUUCCACUAAAUACUUAAAAGUUCUGUUUAGAUAGCUGUUUGUUGACUUUCUACCAAGAGUAAUGACUGUUUUUUUUUCUAAUUCUUUCCCUCCUCUUCCACCUAAACUCAUCUGACUCAAUGAUUAUAUAAUUUUUAUGACAUAUCAUUUAGAUUUUGAAGUACACUUACAGCUGUACCAUAUGGUUUAUUAGCUUUAAUAAUCUUUCUGUUCUCUGUUCUACUAGAUGAGAAAUUCAGCCUACCCAGCCACACCUUGUCCUUUUUGUCUCCAAACCUUUUCUGUGUUAUUUCUGUAAUGUUGGAGAUUAUAACAUUUAAAUUCUGUUCUGUGACCAUAAUAUCCACACUUGUUUAUUCUUUUUAAAAAUAUUUUUAUUCGUUGUUGAUGAAUUUUAUUUAUUUAUUUUUUUUGUACAUGGUGCUGAGAAUCAAACCCAGGGCAUCACACAUGCUAGGCAAGCACUCUACCACUGAGCCACAACCCCAACCCCACACUUGUUUAUUUUUAGUCCUAAAGUUAGGUGGAGUCAAUACUCAGGACCUGUUCUCCCCAUUUAUCUCUUUGAUUUUCAGAGUUUGGCCUCUAGUGGUUUCUUCAAGAAGGGUUUCGGGACUACAUUCCCUCAGUUUUUCCAAGUUCAAAAUGUUUCUUGUCCCUACACUUUAAUGACUAUUUAGCUUUGUACAGUUCUUAGAUCACACCCUUUAUUUCCCUAAGGAUUUCAUCCCAUUGUCUUUGAGUUUUGAACUUUGCUGUGAAGAGUAGCAUUCAACUUUGUGCCUCAUUUCAUAACUGAUUUUUCUCUUAAUUCCAGUAACGUUACUAAAACAUGAAUCAAAGUUGAAUGUUUUGUGUCAAUUUUUCCUGGGUUUCAGCAUGCCCCCUGAAGUCUAUAGAUUCAUGACUUAUUUUUCUGAAAAGUUACUUUGAAGUAUACCUUUGAUCUUUUUCCUGUUUUCUUAGGAUUUUUUAACCUCUUCUUCAGGAUGCUGGUUGUUAAAUACAAAGUCUUUUUUAUCUGUCCUUUCUAGCUAUUAUUUUGUCCAGUUCUUUUGAAUUAUUUUUUUCUACUUCAUUUUGCACUCUUUUCCAUUCCUGUCAUCCUUGUUAUUUCCAUAUUUCUCCCCACAGUCUGGUUGCUGCCAAUAUAAUGUUUAUGUCC